Molecule: ribosomal RNA, 543 nt
Filed under: Penicillium sp. DF-2
Lineage: Eukaryota; Fungi; Ascomycota; Eurotiomycetes; Eurotiales; Aspergillaceae
Description: eukaryotic LSU rRNA
Rfam family: 5.8S ribosomal RNA (bases 185-338)
Source: RNAcentral
AAGGAUCAUUACCGAGUGAGGGCCCUCUGGGUCCAACCUCCCACCCGUGUUUAUUGUACCUUGUUGCUUCGGUGGGCCCGCCUCACGGCCGCCGGGGGGCAUCUGCUCCCGGGCCCGCGCCCACCGAAGACACCUAGAACUCUGUCUGAAGAUUGAAGUCUGAGUGAAAUUAUAAAUUAUUUAAAACUUUCAACAACGGAUCUCUUGGUUCCGGCAUCGAUGAAGAACGCAGCGAAAUGCGAUACGUAAUGUGAAUUGCAGAAUUCAGUGAAUCAUCGAGUCUUUGAACGCACAUUGCGCCCUCUGGUAUUCCGGAGGGCAUGCCUGUCCGAGCGUCAUUGCUGCCCUCAAGCACGGCUUGUGUGUUGGGCCCCGUCCUCCGCUCCCGGGGGACGGGCCCGAAAGGCAGCGGCGGCACCGCGUCCGGUCCUCGAGCGUAUGGGGCUUUGUCACCCGCUCUGUAGGCCCGGCCGGCGCUUGCCGAUCAACCAAACUUUUUUCCAGGUUGACCUCGGAUCAGGUAGGGAUACCCGCUGAACUUAA